This 318-nucleotide ribosomal RNA is filed under the name Yersinia sp. (in: enterobacteria). Its description in RNAcentral is "bacterial SSU rRNA". It matches the Rfam family "Bacterial small subunit ribosomal RNA", at positions 21 to 335 of the family's 1533-position model. Lineage: Bacteria; Pseudomonadati; Pseudomonadota; Gammaproteobacteria; Enterobacterales; Yersiniaceae. The record is from RNAcentral.
UGCUCAGAUUGAACGCUGGCGGCAGGCCUAACACAUGCAAGUCGAGCGGCAGCGGAAAGUAGCUUGCUACUUUGCCGGCGAGCGGCGGACGGGUGAGUAAUGUCUGGGAAACUGCCCGAUGGAGGGGGAUAACUACUGGAAACGGUNGCUAAUACCGCAUAACGUCUNCGGACCAAAGUGGGGGACCUUCGGGCCUCACACCAUCGGAUGUGCCCAGAUGGGAUUAGCUAGUAGGUGGGGUAACGGCUCACCUAGGCGACGAUCCCUAGCUGGUCUGAGAGGAUGACCAGCCACACUGGAACUGAGACACGGUCCAGA